CUACGUGCCAGCAGCCGCGGUAAUACGUAGGUCCCGAGCGUUAUCCGGAUUUAUUGGGCGUAAAGCGAGCGCAGGCGGUUAGAUAAGUCUAAAGUUAAAGGCUGUGGCUUAACCAUAGUACGCUUUGGAAACUGUUUAACUUGAGUGCAGAAGGGGAGAGUGGAAUUCCAUGUGUAGCGGUGAAAUGCGUAGAUAUAUGGAGGAACACCGGUGGCGAAAGCGGCUCUCCGGUCUGUAACUGACGCUGAGGCUCGAAAGCGUGGGGAGCAAACAGGAUUAGAUACCCCGGUAGUCCUGGCCGUAAACGAUGGGUACUAGGUGUAGGAGGUAUCGACCCCUUCUGUGCCGGAGUUAACGCAAUAAGUACCCCGCCUGGGGAGUACGACCGCAAGGUUGAAACUCAAAGGAAUUGACGGGGGCCCGCACAAGCGGUGGAGUAUGUGGUUUAAUUCGACGCAACGCGAAGAACCUUACCAGGUCUUGACAU
Molecule: ribosomal RNA, 487 nt
Filed under: uncultured bacterium
Lineage: Bacteria
Description: bacterial SSU rRNA
Rfam family: Bacterial small subunit ribosomal RNA
Source: RNAcentral